UUAAUUAUUCCAUUUCCAUUCACACUGAAUACUACAGAACAUUUGUUUAUAAGAUGCUUGCAGGCUCAAAAUUAAAUUUAGACAUAUCUUACCAAUUUGGGGAGAUAAGCAGAAAUAUUAAUUGCAUCAUACCCUAUGUCAGCCAGCUUUAAGAUUAAAUUAGAAGGCAUCUUCACCAUUUAGAGAAAUUGGCUAUUAAGAAAACCAUGGGGUUUAGAUGUUGCUUUUUCCUUCUAAGAAAAAUGAAAAUAAAGAGCAGACCGACAUCAAUGCCUGUUCCUCCCCUCUCCUCAAAAUGAGGUAUGUGUCUUGAAUGAGAGAAAGCCUCAAAGAAAAAUGUGAAAAAAACGUUUCUCAAUGGAUCAUGCUGGUCCUAGAACAGGACAUUACCAUGAAUAUGCAUGAAUGGCAUGAGUCAAGCUACACUCAGGAAUAAGCAUCAGCUUUCACUUGCCAUUUUCUGAAGCCUUGCAGUCAGACUGCCAAGACAGCAACUGAAUAACAAGGUUUUUAUAUGAAUGCAGGGGGUAGAUUAAUGCUGUUUUGGACUAACUGGAGGAACCAUCUUCAAUUCAGCUUGCCUGAAGGAUGUGCUGCUUCUCUAUUUGGCCAACUCAUAAAAGCAGUAACAAACAAUGAAUAAAAAGAGACUAUGUGUUUAAAUUCAAAACCCCUGAGCACCACUGUCAGUUGUAAGUUUUGAUAAUUUCUAUGGGAAGAAAAAGAAAAAAAAUCAGGACAAGGUCUUUGCAAACUGGUUGCUGUCAACUAAAAUGAGAAGUUAGAUAAAACUCCCACAUGCCAGAUGGUAGAUCACAAUAAAUGCUCAGGCUGUUAGAUGCACAACAAGCGACAAACGCAUUGAAAUACACCAUUAAAAGCAAACCCAAAAUAGAAAGGAUAUUUUAAUAAGAAGUUAUUGUUUGAGGGAAAGAUCCUCAUUAAGCUCAUCAGAAUCGGAAACCGUACAUGGAGGGUUUUUUACUUUCCUCACCACCUCACAUAAGCAUGAGGAACAAUGAACAAUUUUAGCAGAAUUAUGUUAGGCUAAGGGCUACUGUCAGUGAGAGCCUUGGAGUUCACUAUUUAGACAUCACAACUCUUUCUGCCAAGUUACUUAAAAAAAUAUUGUUAAAGGAUACCAGGGAAUUGUUUACUCAAACCACUACUGUUUCCUCAACACAGAUGCAAGAAAAAGUUAUAUUAAGAAGAUAAACAGCUGCUACUGUAUGCUGUUUAAAUGGCAACAAAAGCAUCUAAGGGCCAUAAAGGGAAUAGUGAGGGAAUUAAAAAGCAUUUUUAUGCAUGAAGAUGGCUAACAUCCGUACAUUCAUUAAAGUGGUAUCAACCAUGCUUUUAAUUAAAAGUUAGUGACAGAAACUUAAAUAUGAUUAAUGAAACCUAGCAGCCUACCACAAGUCUGCUCUAUCAAAAGCAAGAAGCACAGCAAGCUGCAUUUCCAGCCCUUGCUUGUUCCAUUUCUCUUUCCUCCUCAGAGAUGCUGCCACAACCAGAACAUGUUGUGAGGACCAUGCAGCAACAUUCCCGUGAAAAACAGCAAGCCAGAACAAGCCUGCAGCCGUGCUUUCAUGCUUGGCCAUUCUUUAUUUUGUAUACCCCGAGGAGACACUGCAAUUACUGAGCAGCCUGGGGGCCAAGAUGACAAGCUGGUUACCUGUCAGCAAAACCGGCUAUAUGGCAAUCUAUCGCCUGUUGUGGGCACGAGGUCUGCCAGAGGCUGGGGAAAAGGCUGCCCUACAAACAGCAGUCUCCUGUUCAACAGUGGAAAAAAAUCACUCAGAAACUAGUGCCGAACUCUGCAACGCAGUCAGUCUUCUUGUAUUACUCGGGAGCACAACGCAGUCGUGACAAAAAUAAACUAAGCGAUAAAAAUACAGCACGAGCAAAAAGAUGUGGGCACGGGGAGGGAAUUAGUACGCAAGAGGAAGAUAAGGAGUCUUACAGGCCACAGACAUUUCAACACACAAUCAAACCGCCUGCUAUUUAAGUCCUGAUGCAUGUGAAAACUAAUCUAUUGCUGUUGUCCCGUCAAACUGCUGUCACGUACCAAGCUAAGCGCGCGCAGAUUAUGCCUUCAAAGACAUUUUCUGGCACCGUGUUUCCCCCUUAGCUGCUUCCAGACACACGGAGCGCACAGAAGAUGGAAGCCCUCACCUCGCAGCAGGAUGCAUCGCCCCGCGGCUUCUGUUCUGCUCUGCAAACACACACCGCCACCAGCAACCAGCCCCUUGUUACGGCCCGGUGGUUCCAGUUCUGUGUCCUCACUCUCGAGGGCUCCCCUGCACCUCCCGGAGCCCUGCUCCCGCUUCUGCUCCUUUCCAGGUCCCAGCCCCAGUACACCUGUUCAUUCUGUACAGUUCCUUCGAGAGACAAAGCUCCAAGCGCCAGGCAGAUUAUACUUAGAAGCUAUCCAUGGUACAAAGAGACACCAUUUUUUUUUAUUAUCAUUAUUUGGUUUUUAGAGAUGUGGACAAAUUACCUUUCCCAAAAGUUAAAUCUGAGAGCUGAAUGUUUCGUAAGGUUUAGAGUCAGAGAGAAAACUAUGCAUGGGAGUGCCUUGCAAGGGCAGCCAGAACCAGAACAAAGCCUGGGGCUCCAGGCAGAACCCAGCAGAUCUGGAAAGGCGAUAAAUGAUAAAUGCCUGCCUAGCUGAGAGGUGUCAGGUGCAAGAAUGCAAGAGGAAGAUGAUUAAAACCCUCCUCAGAGAACACAUCGCCUUCUGGUUCUCUGCAAGUCCUUAGUUGUGCCCCACUACAGAACACGGCAAUUUGCUUGUGUUAAGGGGAAGAAUUUUGCAAGGGAUUAAAACAAACAAGCAAACAAAAAGACAGCAUCCAGCCAAGUGCACAGCAAACGCUGUCACGUUUCCACAGUCAACAUGUGCGCAGUGUGCCCCACUUUUUGAUGCUUCAGGUCUGAUUUUCAGAAGCACCGAGUGUUCAGGCCUCCCACUGAUUUAAUCUGGAACUGCAGAUUCUCUGCCCCUCUGAAGAAUCAGGCCAAAGGCAGCACACUGAACAGGUCACCCCAAGUCAGACGGUUCUUUGAAAAGGUUGUCCUAGAGGUUUACAAAGAGCAACACUUACUUCUCACCCCCCACCCCCCCUUCAGCGUUUGAAUAGAACCGAAAUAAAUAGCCUAAAGAGCUCCAACAGAUGGAGGAGGGCUUUUGAUUAUAAAAUAAAUUCUGACUCACAAUUUAGUUCUCUGGAUGUAAAAAAAAGAAAAAAAAAGUAUAUGAAUAGUGCUGGAAAGAAUGGAGCAGAGAUAAAGGGAGGUUAUAUGGAAAAGCAGCGAAAUAGCUGAACUGAUUUACCUACUCCUUUCUAACGUCUGUCAGGAAAAUUCAGUUUGGUUUUGCUGUAGUGCUGAUGAAAGAAAACAAGACCACUAGUGGACUCAUGACAUUUUCCUGUGAUAGAUUCCCUGGAAAAAUCCUGCUGACUGAACAGUAUUUUUGAAGAAUAUUUUUAAAUUGGACCAUUAACAACUUAAAGUGGCGGGAAAACUUCUUCAGCUAAA
Falco peregrinus (peregrine falcon) is the source of this 3543-nucleotide long non-coding RNA. RefSeq lists it as uncharacterized. The record is from RefSeq and is a predicted model, not a curated record. NCBI's taxonomy places the organism in Eukaryota, Metazoa, Chordata, Aves, Falconiformes, Falconidae. The transcript is spliced from 2 exons.